UGCGUAGGCGGAAUAUUAAGUCAGUGGUGAAAUCCUGCGGCUCAACUGUAGAACUGCCAUUGAUACUGAUAUUCUUGAAUGUAGUUGAGGUAGGCGGAAUGUGUAAUGUAGCGGUGAAAUGCUUAGAUAUUACACAGAACACCGAUUGCGAAGGCAGCUUACUAAACUAUGAUUGACGCUGAGGCACGAAAGCGUGGGGAGCGAACAGGAUUAGAUACCCUGGUAGUCC
RNAcentral lists this ribosomal RNA (229 nucleotides) under uncultured bacterium. RNAcentral's name for it is "partial 16S ribosomal RNA". It matches the Rfam family "Bacterial small subunit ribosomal RNA", at positions 568 to 796 of the family's 1533-position model. The record is from RNAcentral.